Molecule: long non-coding RNA, 1135 nt
Organism: Alosa sapidissima (American shad)
Lineage: Eukaryota; Metazoa; Chordata; Actinopteri; Clupeiformes; Clupeidae
Exons: 4
Source: RefSeq, a predicted model, not a curated record
CGAUAUUUACCUUGCCAGAUGAUGUCGAUGAACAGCCAGGAACUUCUGGAACUAGCAGUGCUAGCUGCGCUAAACGCAUUUGCCUGGAGUCACCAUGCCCAAGUACACCUGGCCUUGAUACCAGUGCCAGCACCCUUGAAGUUGGUGAAAUGGAUGAAAGGCACUACAAAACAGGUGGAAGUGCAUUCCACACCAUGUGGUCAAUGAACAUCGAUGGACUGACAUGGAUGGAAAGCGGCAUCACUGUGACCAUGCUCCUCUAACAGCUGAGGAGCAGAAGAAGAGGAUGUAGCUGAAGAAGGACUCGGUGGCAUAUCAGGACCUGAUGUCACUCGUCUUUGAUAAAAGGCUUUUGAAAGAUCUUCAGAAGAUGGCCCUCUUCAAACAUACUGGGCCACUGGAGAUCUUUCACAGAGCUCUCCUGAAGUACCUCCCUAAAUGCCAGGCCUUCUCCUACGAGGGAGAAGGCCUACCUCGUCAUCAUGGAACAUAAUGAGAACAUUGUGGCACGAGAACAAGCCACCACGGCAACAGGAGAACCACGCGUCAAGCAGGUCUUCUGCAAAAAGUCAAAGCAAUGGAUAGUCAAGAAAAUCUAUAAGCCACACACCACCAAGUUCAUCUAGACACUAAUUGAGAAGGUCAUAGAAAACAGACGCAACCCAAACAUAACAUUCAAGGACUCAACCGCUUCACUCACCCAACCACAACCUCCUUUGCCACCUAACAUUGCCUCUGUCCCAAAGCCGUCAAAGAAAGCUGCAACAUCAUCAUUCAAGAGCCGCUUCUGAGACGUCAGCUCUACAUUAACCCAUUCCUCACAAAUAUUUUGUAAUAUUACCAUGUCUUAUGUCUGUCUUAUAUGGUCUUUUGACCUUAUCCUUGCACUACCUUACCUGUUUGCACUGCCAUUGAGCACCUUACUAUACAUACUCAAUCACAGGGUCAAUACCUCUUUUUUAUAGUGUGGAUAAUUUUAUUUGUAUGUUUUGAUGUUCAUGACACAAUUCUUUCUUUGUGAAUUAAAAACAAAAUGUCACUCGUGCUCUCCUGUCUGCCUUCAACAAAGUUUAGCAUCAUAAACUUGGAAGGAGGUAACUGAUAUGCAACAAGCUUAUAAUGCAAUGUAUACUUG